RNAcentral lists this ribosomal RNA (310 nucleotides) under Staphylococcus aureus. RNAcentral's name for it is "partial 16S ribosomal RNA". It matches the Rfam family "Bacterial small subunit ribosomal RNA", at positions 1225 to 1533 of the family's 1533-position model. The record is from RNAcentral. Lineage: Bacteria; Bacillati; Bacillota; Bacilli; Caryophanales; Staphylococcaceae.
CUACAAUGGACAAUACAAAGGGCAGCGAAACCGCGAGGUCAAGCAAAUCCCAUAAAGUUGUUCUCAGUUCGGAUUGUAGUCUGCAACUCGACUACAUGAAGCUGGAAUCGCUAGUAAUCGUAGAUCAGCAUGCUACGGUGAAUACGUUCCCGGGUCUUGUACACACCGCCCGUCACACCACGAGAGUUUGUAACACCCGAAGCCGGUGGAGUAACCUUUUAGGAGCUAGCCGUCGAAGGUGGGACAAAUGAUUGGGGUGAAGUCGUAACAAGGUAGCCGUAUCGGAAGGUGCGGCUGGAUCACCUCCUUU